This 473-nucleotide ribosomal RNA is filed under the name Cormocephalus nudipes. RNAcentral's name for it is "partial 16S ribosomal RNA". It matches the Rfam family "Bacterial large subunit ribosomal RNA", at positions 1854 to 2605 of the family's 2925-position model. Lineage: Eukaryota; Metazoa; Arthropoda; Chilopoda; Scolopendromorpha; Scolopendridae. The record is from RNAcentral.
UUGACCUGCCCAAUGUUUAAUAUUAAUGGCUGCGGUAUAUUGACCGUACUAAGGUAGCAUAAUAAUUAGGUUAUUUAUUGUAAUCUUGAAUGAAUGGUUUGACGAAAAAAUAGCUUUCUUAUUUUGUUUAUUGAAGUUAAAUUAUUAGUAAAAAUGCUAAUAAUGUAAUUAAACGAGAAGACCCUAUUAAGUUUUAUAUGAUUAUGUUUAUGUUUUUAGUGAUAAUGUUAAUUUAUUAAUAUUUUGUUGGGGCGAUAGUUAGUGGAUAUGCAUUAUGAUAUUAUUCUUUUGUAAAAGAUAUUGAACCAUUAAUAAUGAUUAAUAGAAUAAAUUACUAUAGGGAUAACAGCACAAUUUUAUUGGAGAGUUCUUAUUGAUAAUAUAGUUUGUGACCUCGAUGUUGAAUCAAUUUUUCUGGAGGAUGGAGACGUUUUUUUAGAUAGUCUGUUCGACUAUUAAAUGUUUACGUGAUC